This 253-nucleotide ribosomal RNA is filed under the name uncultured prokaryote. Its description in RNAcentral is "partial 16S ribosomal RNA". It matches the Rfam family "Bacterial small subunit ribosomal RNA", at positions 525 to 777 of the family's 1533-position model. The record is from RNAcentral.
ACGUAGGCAGCAAGCGUUGUUCGGAAUUACUGGGCGUAAAGAGUGUGUAGGCGGUGCUCUAAGUCUGUCGUGAAAUCUCCCGGCUUAACUGGGAGGGUGCGGCGGAUACUAUUGUGCUAGAGGGUGGGAGAGGAAAGCGGAAUUCCUGGUGUAGCGGUGAAAUGCGUAGAUAUCAGGAGGAACACCUGCGGUGUAGACAGCUUUCUGGACCACUUCUGACGCUGAGACACGAAAGCGUGGGUAGCAAACAGGA